GAUGAACGCUGGCGGCGUGCCUAAUACAUGCAAGUCGAGCGAACGGAUGAGAAGCUUGCUUCUCUGAUGUUAGCGGCGGACGUGUGAGUAACACGUGGAUAACCUCCCUAUCAGACUGGUAUCACUUCGGGAAACCGGAGCUUAUCCCGUAUAAUAUUUUGCACCGCAUGGUUCAAAAGUGAAAGACGGUCUUGCUGUCACUUAUAGAUGGAUCCGCGCUGCAUUAGCUAGUUGGUAAGGUAACGGCUUACCAAGGCAACGAUGCAUAGCCGACCUGAGAGGGUGAUCGGCCACACUGGAACUGAGACACGGUCCAGACUCCUACGGGAGGCAGCAGUAGGGAAUCUUCCGCAAUGGGCGAAAGCCUGACGGAGCAACGCCGCGUGAGUGAUGAAGGUCUUCGGAUCGUAAAACUCUGUUAUUAGGGAAGAACAUAUGUGUAAGUAACUGUGCACAUCUUGACGGUACCUAAUCAGAAAGCCACGGCUAACUACGUG
This 497-nucleotide ribosomal RNA is filed under the name uncultured bacterium. Its description in RNAcentral is "partial 16S ribosomal RNA". It matches the Rfam family "Bacterial small subunit ribosomal RNA", at positions 28 to 507 of the family's 1533-position model. The record is from RNAcentral.